UCUUUUUUUUUUUUUUUAUCACUGAUGAGUGAAUGAAUUUGACUAUUAUUUUCUCACCUUUUAGUUUCCAAAAAUUUAAAUGAUUAAACUUUGCCAGAUAUUUGCUUGGCCCUGUACUGCUAUAUAAAUGGAAGAAUUACUAUUCUAAGUUUUUUAUAUCGAGAUUACAGCUUUUCUAACUGCUGAAGAUAUAUAUCAACUUGAAUGAGAAGGGAGGAAGCUUACCAACCAAUGUUCUUCAUUUCUGUUCACUGCACGUGUUUGGAAGGUUCCGUGGGAAGUGGUUCUGCGAUUGUAUAAUAUAUUAAUGUAGACUAGAUAGCUUAUUGUGUUGUUGACCAAUCACUGUGGAAUGCUUGAUUUUUGGUCACUUCUACCUCCACACCCUGUGUUCAAAUAUGGGUUUUAUUGGUUAGCUCCUCCAAGAAUUUUAUCUUUUUGUUGCAUGGGACUCCCUCAGUGCAGUUUAAUUUAGUUGAACUGAUUUUUUUUUUUUUUUUAACUGAUUUGAAUCCAAGUGUAUGAAUGAGGGAGAGACAUAUGGUGGAUCCUCUUCCAAUCCAUGUGCUUCAUGUGGCAAGAUGAUUCAUGAAAGAAAAUUUCAUGGAAGGACUUCAAAUUCUAUCAAGUUUUGUAACUUUUAAUUUAAUGUGGAAUAUCUUCAUUGAAACAUUAUUUACAUUGUUCAGUCUGCCAUUAAUGUCAUAAUCACUUUUCUUUGUUGUUGGUUCCCUACAUGAGAAUAUUCCUUUUUUCCUUUUACCCCUUAUAUGGCUUAAAGUCUGAUUGUAUAUUAUGACUUUGUAGUUGUGGCAACUUAAAACUAUUUCGAAGUGGCAACCUGUAAAGGUAUUUUUGACCUUCUGAACAAUGAGGAAGUGGGGAAUAAAAUGAGGUAAA
RNAcentral lists this unclassified non-coding RNA (900 nucleotides) under Hevea brasiliensis (rubber tree). The record is from RNAcentral. Lineage: Eukaryota; Viridiplantae; Streptophyta; Magnoliopsida; Malpighiales; Euphorbiaceae.